UCGGCCCUACGGGAGGCAGCAGUAGGGAAUUUUCGUCAAUGGGCGCAAGCCUGAACGAGCAAUGCCGCGUGAACGAGGAAGGUCUUCGGAUCGUAAAGUUCUGUUGAAGGGGAAAAAGAGCGGAGAGAGGAAAUGAACUCCGAUUGAUAUUACCCUUCGAGGAAGUCACGGCUAACUACGUGCCAGCAGCCGCGGUAAUACGUAGGAUGCGAGCGUUAUCCGGAUUUAUUGGGUUUAAAGGGUGCGCAGGCGGAAGAUCAAGUCAGCGGUAAAAUUGAGAGGCUCAACCUCUUCGAGCCGUUGAA
RNAcentral lists this ribosomal RNA (305 nucleotides) under uncultured bacterium. RNAcentral's name for it is "bacterial SSU rRNA". It matches the Rfam family "Bacterial small subunit ribosomal RNA", at positions 332 to 631 of the family's 1533-position model. The record is from RNAcentral.